UCGGGAAUUUUGGGCAAUGGGGGAAACCCUGACCCAGCAACGCCGCGUGAAGGAUGAAGUAUUUCGGUAUGCAAACUUCGAAAGAAUAGGAAGAAUAAAUGACGGUACUAUUUAUAAGGUCCGGCUAACUACGUGCCAGCAGCCGCGGUAAUACGUAGGGACCAAGCGUUGUUCGGAUUUACUGGGCGUAAAGGGCGCGUAGGCGGUGUGUCAAGUCAGUUGUGAAAUCUCCGAGCUUAACUCGGAACGGUCAACUGAUACUGUCACACUAGAGUACAGAAGGGGCAAUCGGAAUUCUUGGUGUAGCGGUGAAAUGCGUAGAUAUCAAGAGGAACACCUGAGGCGAAGGCGGGUUGCUGGGCUGAUACUGACGCUGAGGCGCGAAAGCCAGGGGAGCAAACGGGGAUUAGAUACCCGUGUAGUCCCUGAGCGGGCUGGCAAGGCGCAU
Molecule: ribosomal RNA, 448 nt
Filed under: uncultured bacterium
Lineage: Bacteria
Description: bacterial SSU rRNA
Rfam family: Bacterial small subunit ribosomal RNA
Source: RNAcentral